Molecule: ribosomal RNA, 886 nt
Filed under: uncultured euryarchaeote
Lineage: Archaea; Methanobacteriati; Methanobacteriota
Description: bacterial SSU rRNA
Rfam family: Archaeal small subunit ribosomal RNA
Source: RNAcentral
AGCUACUGCCAUCAGAGUUCGAUUAAGCCAUGUUAGUCGAGGGUGCUUCUUUUUCGGAAGAGGUAACCCGGCGGACGGCUCAGUAACACGUGGACAACUUACCCUUGGGCCCGGGAUAACCCCUGGGAAACUGGGGCUAAUAUCGGAUAGAGCAUCGGUUGCUGGAAUGCACGAUGUUCGAAAGCUGAGGCGCCCAAGGAUAGGUCUGCGGCCGAUUAGGUUGUUGUUGAUGUGACGGAUCGACAAGCCUACGAUCGGUACGGGUUGUGAGAGCAAUAGCCCGGAGAUGGGUUCUGAGAGAAGAACCCAGGUCCUACGGGACGCAUCAGGCGCGAAAACUUUACAAUGUGCGAAAGCACGAUAAGGGAACUCUGAGUGCCUCCUAAGGAGGCUGUUCAGGUGUCUAAAAAGCACCUGAAGGAAGGGCUGGGCAAGACCGGUGCCAGCCGCCGCGGUAACACCGGCGGCCCAAGUGGUAGCCAUGCUUAUUGGGUCUAAAGCGUCCGUAGCCGGCUGAGUAAGUUUCUUGGGAAAUUUGACCGCUUAACGGCCAAGCUUUCAGGGAAUACUGCUUGGCUUGGGACCGGGAGAGGUCAGAGGUACCUCAAGGGUAGGGGUGAAAUCCUUUAAUCCUUGGGGGACCACCGGUAGCGAAGGCGUCUGACCAGACCGGGUCCGACGGUGAGGGACGAAGGCUAGGGUCGCGAACCGGAUUAGAUACCCGGGUAGUCCUAGCUGUAAACGAUGCGGGCCAGGUGUUGACAUUACUGCGAGUGAUGCCAGUGCCGAAGGGAAGCCGUUAAGCCCGCCAUCUGGGGAGUACGGUCGCAAGGCUGAAACUUAAAGGAAUUGGCGGGGGAGCACCACAACGGUUUGAUCCCGCCGG